CUCUGAAAAAAAAGAUGCCCUGACAAAGACCAGAUUGGCUGCGGACCUGUGCCCAAUACAUCCAUGGAUUCCAAGUUUGCUGCAAAUGAGCAACCCAGGCAGGCCAGGCUUCCCCCUGGUAAAAGGAGAGAGGAUGGAUUGCAGGCUUAUUACUAAACAUUUCUUGCCCAGCACCUAACCCAGACUGAAACAGGAUUGGAAAAUUUCAGCGAGUGCUGUUUGCCUUCUUUCGAUGUCCUCGAGUUCUCCUCAGAAGCUUAAAGUGGAUUUUCAGACUUUUGGUAUCAGGAUUUCCAGAUUCUCUUUCUCUUCUAGUAAGGCAGGUAUUCUUAUUCGAGGCGAUAAUAAUGACAAGAGCUGCUCUUCAUGAAUCUACCCCUGUGUCGGGUUCUGCGGCAAAGCCCUUCACGAGAAGUGGUGAUACGGAGAGCUCAUUGGUAUGAAUGCAGGCUCGCUCAUACAAAAGUCAGAAAGGAACUCACAGGCGAAAAGGAGAGCAGAGGACUGGACUCAUGGCAGUUCUACUCAGGCGGGUCCCUUGUGCUGAAGCUCUGGGGACACAGACAAGAAGACAUAGUCACUGUCUUCCCGGAGCUCACUGUCUCAGCAGCACUGAAUGGAGUCUUCCUUCCCAGGCCCUGAUCUGCAUAAAACUAGGAAACAAGAAAA
This is a non-coding RNA of Callorhinus ursinus (northern fur seal), 669 nucleotides long. The record is from RefSeq and is a predicted model, not a curated record. Lineage: Eukaryota; Metazoa; Chordata; Mammalia; Carnivora; Otariidae.